Molecule: non-coding RNA, 790 nt
Organism: Ictidomys tridecemlineatus (thirteen-lined ground squirrel)
Lineage: Eukaryota; Metazoa; Chordata; Mammalia; Rodentia; Sciuridae
Source: RefSeq, a predicted model, not a curated record
GAGCCCUGAGGAUAGAGCCAGCCUUCUAUGGACUAAGACCUCUGAAACCGAACAAGCCCCGACUCCCAAGAGAUCAUGAAAAGUGAUACCUGAGUCACACUGACAUUCUGUUGGCAAAGAAGAAAGAGGCAAAACACAGUGCAUCUGCCGUGGUGCUGCUAUUUCCUCCUCUGGGCAGCUAAGCCAAUUGUAGCUCAUAAAGGAUAAGUGAUUGGCCCAAGGUCACUCUGCUGGCCACAGGAUGUCAGAGAUGGAAGGGACUUCAGACACCAUCUCUACUCUUACUAGCACAGCAGCCCACGCUAAGACCAGGCUAAGGACCCAGCUUCCCAUGCCCUUCCCCAACUAUACACAGCUGCACAGUCUUCAGACCGUGGAUCAGCCAUCAGUGAUGUGUAGGGUGCUUCCAUUCUUCCCUUGUAUCUCAACAUCUCCUCCUGCCUUUCUCCACCAAAAGUCUGCUCUUGACUCCUGCCCUCUACGACUCUUGCUCUGGAUUCCAACAACCCCUCUGAGCUGAACUCUCACCCUAUUCCUACUUGAUCAGUACUCCUCACGGAAGCUCAGUGCACCCAGGAUCCUCGGUGCAUCCUGGAUGUGACUUGAAAAGCAAAGGCAAGUCUCCCUGAUUGACACUCUACUAGGCUUUGCCGUUCAUCUUGUUUGGGGGCCAGGGAUAAGCCUCAUCCCAGGAGAAAUGACAGAUUAUCAAUGCUGACUGGGAUGUGUCCGAACUAAAGUCUUUUUAUACCUGCUCUUCAGUGUAUUGUGUUGAGAAAAUAAAGCAAAC